AACGAACGCUGGCGGCAGGCCUAACACAUGCAAGUCGAGCGGGACCUUCGGGUCUAGCGGCGGACGGGUUAGUAACGCGUGGGAACGUGCCCAAAGGUACGGAAUAGCCUCGGGAAACUGAGAGUAAUACCGUAUGUGCCCCUCGGGGGAAAGAUUUAUCGCCUUUGGAUCGGCCCGCGUGGAUUAGGUAGUUGGUGGGUAAUGGCCUACCAAGCCGACGAUCCAUAGCUGGUUUGAGAGGAUGAUCAGCAACACUGGGACUGAGACACGGCCCAGACUCCUACGGGAGGCAGCAGUGGGGAAUCUUAGACAAUGGGGGAAACCCUGAUCUAGCCAUGCCGCGUGAGCGAUGAAGGCCUUAGGGUUGUAAAGCUCUUUCAGAUGGGAAGAUAAUGACGGUACCAUCAGAAGAAGCCCCCGGCUAACUCCGUGCCAGCAGCCGCGGUAAUGUAU
This 453-nucleotide ribosomal RNA is filed under the name uncultured bacterium. RNAcentral describes it as "bacterial SSU rRNA". It matches the Rfam family "Bacterial small subunit ribosomal RNA", at positions 29 to 528 of the family's 1533-position model. The record is from RNAcentral.